UGGAGCCAAUCCUAGAAAAGCCGGUCUCAGUUCGGAUUGUAGGCUGCAACUCGCCUACAUGAAGUCGGAAUUGCUAGUAAUCGCGGAUCAGCAUGCCGCGGUGAAUACGUUCCCGGGUCUUGUACACACCGCCCGUCACACCACGAGAGUUUACAACACCCGAAGUCGGUGAGGUAACCGCAAGGAGCCAGCCGCCGAAGGUGGGGUAGAUGAUUGGGGUGAAGUCGUAACAAGGUAGCCGUAUCGGAAGGUGCGGCUGGAUCACCUCCUUU
RNAcentral lists this ribosomal RNA (272 nucleotides) under Paenibacillus polymyxa. RNAcentral's name for it is "partial 16S ribosomal RNA". It matches the Rfam family "Bacterial small subunit ribosomal RNA", at positions 1263 to 1533 of the family's 1533-position model. Lineage: Bacteria; Bacillati; Bacillota; Bacilli; Caryophanales; Paenibacillaceae. The record is from RNAcentral.